UACGUAGGGGCGAGCGUUGUCCGGAAUGAUUGGGCGUAAAGGGCGCGUAGGCGGCUGUGCAAGUCAGUAGUGGAAGCCCAGCUUUAAGGUUGGAAGUGCUAUUGAAACUGUGCAGCUUGAGUGCAGGAGAGGUAAGGGGAAUUCCCGGUGUAGCGGUGAAAUGCGUAGAUAUUAGGAGGAACACCAGUGGCGAAGGCGGCUUCCUGGUCUGUAACUGACACUGAGGCGCGAAAGCGUGGGGAGCAAACAGGAUUAGAUACCCCCGGUAGU
This 270-nucleotide ribosomal RNA is filed under the name uncultured prokaryote. RNAcentral's name for it is "partial 16S ribosomal RNA". It matches the Rfam family "Bacterial small subunit ribosomal RNA", at positions 524 to 794 of the family's 1533-position model. The record is from RNAcentral.